Alnus glutinosa is the source of this 1212-nucleotide RNA transcript. It is a transcript of the gene named SAP-like protein BP-73, with no coding region annotated. The transcript is spliced from 3 exons. Lineage: Eukaryota; Viridiplantae; Streptophyta; Magnoliopsida; Fagales; Betulaceae. The record is from RefSeq and is a predicted model, not a curated record.
UUCAGAGAGAAUGUGGCAUUUCUUAUCUGAUAAGUUCAACCUGCAAUGAGUUUACAGAAGCUGGGAGGAUACAAUUUGCUGGACGGCCCAAUGCUUUAAAGGGAAAUCCCUUCUGAGUAUGAAUUGUAAACUCAUGCUAGUUACAACAUUCUAUUGAACUUGGAGAGAAAGGAAAUCAAGAACCUUUGGUGAUAGAGCUUGUUAAAUUUGGCAGAGAUUGCAGAUGGGCCUUUACUCUUUGACUCCCAAAAGGAUUUUCCUCGCUUAACUGCUUUAAGCAUAAGAUCUGAUGGACAUAGAAGACAUGGACCUCCCGGGAGAAGUUCUGCCUCAAGAAGAAGAAAGGAGGAUGAAAAUGAGACACCUCAAUCAUCCGAUAGUAAAAAGUCCAACUCAUCUAACCAGGAAGAGAUAAUUGCUCUGUUCCGACGAAUUCAGUCUUCAAUCUCAAAGGGAGAGCCUCUAAGUACGAAGAAGAGAAAUUCCAACUUGUCUGAGGAUAAGUCCUCCCCUGAAUCAAUUCUGGACGUUCUUCGCAAUUCAAGGAAGCAAGUGAAAGACAAAACUUCAAACAAGGAAGGUGAUAGGUUAUUGACAAGAAGAAGAGGUGUGCCCAAGAAAGAACAGGCAGAACAGAACAGUCCACAGGUGGCAGAGUUAAAGUCAACCCGGCCGCCGUCUAAAUUUGUGAAGAGAUCCCCAAUACCAUCUUCAUCAACCCCAGGAGGAAACAUACUUGAGUUGAAUGAUGAAGCAUUGGCGGCUAGAGCUGGAAGCAAGGAGUUGAAUUUGCCGAGAAUAGAGGAAAUGAAACUAACAGAGCUUAAAGAACUGGCAAAGUCUAGAGGAAUGAAGGGGUACUCAAAACUGAAGAAGAGCGAGCUCGUAGAAUUACUGAGGUCCGAAAACAAUGGGAAGUUUUCCUGAGAUGAGAGAAACAUAGAAUCCAAAAGCUUGAAGUUAUAAAGCACUGACAAAAGAAGGUGAUCUUUCUUGGAGGUCCUCUGUUUUUGGUUUUUAGUGUCUCGUUGGUUAACAGCUCUAAUUAUCAUGACUUUUAAAUUUAGCUACAUGAACAUAUUCUACUGUACCGAAUUUCCUGUAGUUUAAUGGCAUCAUGUGCAAGCUGCCAACGGUCCUUUUUUCUCCCUCUCGGAACUUCAAAUGUCUAUUUUGCUAGUUUUAUCUAUCGUAUGGUUCCUUUUCUUUGUA